UACGUAGGAGCCAAGCGUUAUCCGGAAUCAUUGGGCUUAAAGGGUCCGUAGGCGGGUUAAUAAGUCAGAGGUGAAAGUCUGCAGCUCAACUGUAGAAGUGCCAUUGAUACUGUUAACCUUGAGUAAAUAAGAAGUGGUUAGAAUAUGUAGUGUAGCGGUGAAAUGCAUAGAUAUUACAUAGAAUACCGAUUGCGAAGGCAGAUCACUAAUAAUUCACUGACGCUGAUGGACGAAAGCGUAGGUAGCGAACAGG
Molecule: unclassified non-coding RNA, 253 nt
Filed under: uncultured Flavobacteriaceae bacterium
Lineage: Bacteria; Pseudomonadati; Bacteroidota; Flavobacteriia; Flavobacteriales; Flavobacteriaceae
Description: contains 16S-23S intergenic spacer region
Rfam family: Bacterial small subunit ribosomal RNA
Source: RNAcentral